Molecule: ribosomal RNA, 332 nt
Filed under: uncultured bacterium
Lineage: Bacteria
Description: bacterial SSU rRNA
Rfam family: Bacterial small subunit ribosomal RNA
Source: RNAcentral
CGUGUAGGCGGUCGGGUAAGUGGAAUGUGAAAUGCCCCGGCUCACCCGGGGACCUGCAUCCCAAACUGCCCGGCUUGAGUAUGGGAGAGGAUGGAGGAAUUCCUGGUGUAGCGGUGAAAUGCGUAGAUAUCAGGAGGAACACCGGUGGCGAAGGCGUCCAUCUGGCCCAAUACUGACGCUGAGGCGCGAAAGCUAGGGGAGCGAACGGGAUUAGAUACCCCGGUAGUCCUAGCCGUAAACGGUGAUCACUAGGUGUUGGGGGCAUCGACCCCUCCAGUGCCGCAGCUAACGCAUUAAGUGAUCCGCCUGGGGAGUACGGCCGCAAGGUUGAA